This is a non-coding RNA of Morchella snyderi, 70 nucleotides long. Lineage: Eukaryota; Fungi; Ascomycota; Pezizomycetes; Pezizales; Morchellaceae. The record is from the annotation of a GenBank genome assembly.
GACGUAGUUUCAUGGUUAUCACACAAGUCUAACACGCUUGUGGUCCCCGGUUCGAGCCCGGGUGAUAUCA